This is a long non-coding RNA of Alexandromys fortis (reed vole), 250 nucleotides long. RefSeq lists it as uncharacterized. The transcript is spliced from 3 exons. The record is from RefSeq and is a predicted model, not a curated record. NCBI's taxonomy places the organism in Eukaryota, Metazoa, Chordata, Mammalia, Rodentia, Cricetidae.
GUGAAACUGGAGAGUGGCUCACUCUCAGGGACUUUGAAAUCAGAGGAGGCCAUGAAAAAUCCAAGAACUGAAAGAAAAGCAUACAAUGCUAUGGAUGGACCCUGGGAUACUUGAUAGAGGAAGGAUCUCUACCAAACCCACUAAGGACGAAGGAAAAGAACAGCAAGCUCAACCAUCUUGAAGUCACAGUAGGAAUCCAAUCUGUGAAGACUUUGAAAAGAAAUUUUUCAACCAAUGAUACAAACCAACA